Molecule: small nuclear RNA, 106 nt
Organism: Jaculus jaculus (lesser Egyptian jerboa)
Lineage: Eukaryota; Metazoa; Chordata; Mammalia; Rodentia; Dipodidae
Source: Ensembl
GUGCUUGUUUGGGCAGCACACAUACUAAAAUUGGGACAAUAAAGAGAAUAUUAGCAUGGCCCCUGCGCAAGGAAGACAUGCAAAUAGUGAAGCAUUCCAAACAAAC